Long non-coding RNA from Platichthys flesus (European flounder), 1639 nucleotides. RefSeq lists it as uncharacterized. Lineage: Eukaryota; Metazoa; Chordata; Actinopteri; Pleuronectiformes; Pleuronectidae. The record is from RefSeq and is a predicted model, not a curated record. The transcript is spliced from 4 exons.
ACAGCACCUGUCCUACCUGUGACAAACUUUCCCUUGUUUUGUCCCUCCCUCCUUCACCUUUCUCCACACCACUCAGACAUGACGUGUGUGUGGGCGAUCUACCCAAAGGGAAUUUCCACAUCAAAGGGUGCGUGAGGUCUGGAUUCUGGAUCUUGUCAUUUCAGUUUUCUCUUGGAAUGAAUCCCUGAAGCAUCAGAGAAAUACGCUCUAUGAGAUUCUAAUGACAAACAGCGCGUUCCACCAUGUCCUGUGUGUGGAUAUGUUUGAAUCUUCUCUGCGCUGCUACCUACUUUCUACAAAGCAGUGCCUCGUCAGAAGGAGUGUUGGUGAACUGCUCCAAACAAGGGAAAGUUGAAGCUGGAAAACCUUUGACAAUUAAAUGUUCUGUACGUUAUAACAUUAAUAACCAGAAAAACUGUACAAUUAUAAAUGUAAAGCUGAACAGAAAUAAUGUAACAGAGGUCAUCCCUAAAGUUGAACAUCCUAAUUAUGUGUUGCUGAAUGUGUCAAAUGUCACCAAAUCAAAUAACUGGACAUUCGAAGUAUUCACAGACUGUGGUCUAGUCAAAUCAAAUACUGUUGAAGUCCCCAAUCCACCUGAUUUACCGGAAACCAGACAAAAUCAGCAUCCUGAAUCGCACAGCAAGGUCCCUGGUAUAUUGGGUGUUUGUGUUCCCGUCACUAUUGUCAUAUUCGUUUUGUUGCUGUUUGGCAUAAUUUUCCUCAAACACAUAAAGAGAAAAAAAGUUCAGGGAGCCUACACUCUUCAGGACUCUUCAUCGUCGCCUGACCAAGCUGACAUUUAACAAAUACGAUAUCAGCACGGCAUGUUAUGUAAAAGGAAAUGUCAUAUAUCAGAAUUUAUUUACCUUUUUUUAUUUGUAUAAGGUUCUUCUCUAGUAAUCUUUGAGGUCUUCAUACAGAUUGAGCCAUGUGAAAAUAUUUCACUUUCACUUUACAUGGAAACAGUUAUGGGGUGAUGGAAAAAUUAGAAGCAGUCAGCAACAAGCACUUCCUCACCUUUGACACCAACACACACACACACACACGCACACACACAAACACACAAACACACAGAAAAUGUUUAUAUUAUGCCAUCGAUCCCCAUCUUGACUGUGAGAGAGACGAGGUCCUUCUGCUGUGGACUUUUGAAUUUUGAAACAUGCACACCAUAUGCAUUCACAAAAAACCUAUGCAACCCACUAGAGGACAAAAAAAGCAUAAAAGGUCUCCUUUAAGGAAGAACCCUUUUGGAACCCUGAUUCCUAAGAGUGUAGUCCAUUGGGUUUAUGGGGGUUGAGAGCCCUUCAUGGUGCAGGCAAUAAAGAGGAAAAAAGAUGAACAUGUAUUUAUUCCUUUUAAAAUGUGACAAGAGUUCCAGACUAUAGGGAUAAGUGCAAAGUAUUAAUUAAGAACAUAAGAGGUGACUUUUGUUUUCAGAUUAUAAAAAGUAUGACAGCUGACAAAAAAUCAAAACAUGCUUUUAAUUGAUAUUUAUAUAUAUAGUUAUAUUUGCUAUUACUUUAAAAUGUUUUAUUUUAUCUGUUGUCUUAAAUUUCUUGUAUAUAAUAAUGAUAUGGAAUUAAUUUGCGUCUUUUCUUUUUGUAUUCGUGUUUUUACUUGUCCUUUUUGUGAAGCA